Non-coding RNA from Vicia faba (fava bean), 222 nucleotides. The record is from the annotation of a GenBank genome assembly. NCBI's taxonomy places the organism in Eukaryota, Viridiplantae, Streptophyta, Magnoliopsida, Fabales, Fabaceae.
AUGUCUAAAUCGGAGGAUUUAAAAACCUACAUGCUAAAUCAUGUCAUCCUCAUGCUUAAUCACACCUUAGAGCCUUGCGGACUCAAUUCAGUUACGUUUGACCCUUGCUGUAACACGAAAAACAUACAGGAACGUGAAAGAAUACAGAAGUUUGGAACUCACCGACCAGAGAAAGGCUGGUGUCUUCUUGACGAUGUCAAAGAACAGAAAUCCAGAGAAUAA